UACGUAGGUCCCGAGCGUUGUCCGGAUUUAUUGGGCGUAAAGCGAGCGCAGGUGGUUUAUUAAGUCUGGUGUAAAAGGCAGUGGCUCAACCAUUGUAUGCAUUGGAAACUGGUAGACUUGAGUGCAGGAGAGGAGAGUGGAAUUCCUGGUGUAGCGGUGAAAUGCGUAGAUAUCAGGAGGAACACCGGUGGCGAAGGCGGCCUGCUGGACUGCAACUGACGUUGAGGCCCGAAAGCGUGGGGAGCAAACAGG
RNAcentral lists this ribosomal RNA (252 nucleotides) under uncultured bacterium. RNAcentral's name for it is "partial 16S ribosomal RNA". It matches the Rfam family "Bacterial small subunit ribosomal RNA", at positions 524 to 776 of the family's 1533-position model. The record is from RNAcentral.